This 1460-nucleotide long non-coding RNA is filed under the name Sinocyclocheilus grahami. RNAcentral describes it as "lncRNA (ENSSGRG00000052850.1)". The record is from RNAcentral. Lineage: Eukaryota; Metazoa; Chordata; Actinopteri; Cypriniformes; Cyprinidae.
CACAGUGUUAAUUAGUAGUACUUAAUUGUAUAAUUUUACUGUAAAAAUCACAAAUUAAAGUGUAACCAGGUGGCAUUUGUAAUUAGUCUCACUGCAACCACAGUUAAUUGUGUUUCCCUUGACGGCAGAGUGACAGUGUCUUCAGUGAUGCUCCUCCCACACCGGCCAUGUCCACUCCCAGAAGCACCCCUAUGCCGCCCCAUCUGGACGAGACCACAGUGAGCAUUGAGCUUCCUCCUAGAGUACACAGUGGGAGCUUUAUGCUGGAGGAGGCCCUAAUGGACUCCCGCCCGGCCUCUGCCCUCUCCGAAAACACAGUGAUAAGUGAACAGCCUCAGAGUUUGUCUCCCCUGCUCAGCAGGUGGGCCUCCAGUCACAGCAAACUCACCCCAUUGUGGAUACUGAAUAACAACCAAAGGACUGACACAACCAGAGCUUGUGACUAUAUCCCUUCCCCAUCCUCGGAUGGAGGAAUGCAAAAUGGAGGAGUCACAGGAGGAGUCAUCACUCCGGGAGGAGUCACAGGAGGAGUCAUCACUCCGGGAGGAGUCACAGGAGGAGUCAUCACUCCGGGAGGAGUCACAGGAGGAGUCAUCACUCCGGGAGGAGUCACAGGAGGAGUCAUCACUCCGGGAGGAGUCACAGGAGUCAUCAUCACUCUGGGAGGAGUCACAGGAGGAGUCACAGGUGGAGGUGAAGGAGUCACAGGAGGAGAAGGGGGAGUGAUGGGAGGAGGAGUCACAGCGAUGCCAUAUCCUACAGAGCAAGGCGGUGUCAGCAAGGAGGAGCCUCAGUGUGCAGUCUCAAAUGAUAGGUGAGCACAACAUGUUUGACUACCCAUAAUGCACCAAAACAAGCACUGUCAUGCAUUGAUAUGUAUACGUAGAUGCAUCAUUAUCGGCUGUUUCUAUGGGCCGUUGUUGUUGCUGCGUCCCAGUUCUCCUACUUAUACUAUGCCCUUAAAAUAUGUACUCUUUCUGUGUAGAAAAAGUACAUACUUUUGAGUAUGUAGCAGAAUAGUAUGCAAGCCUUGGGACAGACUACUUCGUCAUAACUGCGUCUUGCUUAGUUAUAUGCAUUAUAUUAUGUUAUAUGCAAUCCUCAUCCAACGCGCAAUGGGUUGUGGGCAAUAUCAGCCAUUGGUUAAGAGUGUGUACGGAUCAGCACUUUGAAUUUCUACCGGAAAUAGUAAACCUUUGGAAUACUCAUUUCAACAUACUAUGAUUUGGGACACACUAAUUCUAAUUUCAAAUACUAUUUAGGACAGAUAGUAUGCGAAUUGUGACGCAGCAAUUCAUUUUCACUGUGAGUGACGACACAAGACCGUUGCAAGAUGGCGGACACAUCGACGUGUCUGGAGCGGUUGAAUGUGGCAUCUACCUUUUCAUAUCUAUGCUGUCAAGGCCCUGAUAUACUUCAAGCAAAAUCAAAGAACAAUGUCAUUUCAAACAAAAUCAGAC